Molecule: long non-coding RNA, 1890 nt
Organism: Patella vulgata (common limpet)
Lineage: Eukaryota; Metazoa; Mollusca; Gastropoda; Patellidae
Exons: 4
Source: RefSeq, a predicted model, not a curated record
CUUAGCCGUUCAUGGCUCUGUGUUGAUUAUGUUUGAUCGGUUUUUUUGAUACUGUAUUCGACAUUUAUGUGCUAAAUAUGGAUAUUAUAGACAUAACCACAACUUAACACCAUUUGUAUAUGCCGUGGAAUUAUAGGAUGGGUUGUUUUUAUAUUUUCGUGUGAUCAAAUAGAUACUAGGCCUACUAAAUGGCUGGACUUUUCACCUGCAAAUGAUACAUUGUAUACUAAAAUACAGAAUAGAUUCUUUGUAAUUUGGAAGAUAGAAUGGCUUAUAGUGAUAGCAGGUAGACCCGUAUUUAUUAUAAAAGGAAUGGCUGGUAAUUUUUGUCAAUUGAGAAACUGUCAUACAAAAUGGUUGAGAAGUGUGUAAACUGUAAAGUGUAGUAGAAAAGUGAAGAACAGGCAAUAAGCCAAUGGCAUGUAGCAAGUGUGAUCAGUGGACACGCAGGACUUGUGAUACAAAAUUGUCUAGAAAAAGCUAUUUAGAGGCAGUAAGAGUAGGGAAAUCUAUCGAUAUUUUAUGCUUUUUAUGCCGAGUAGGUGACACAUCAAGUGAUCCACGCACCACUAUUCCUACACCACUAUCAAGUUCUGAUAAUAUUAAAAGUUUGCCGGAUUUGCCAACACCAGAAAAGGCUACGACUGACCCAUCUUACAGACCCCUCCUCUCCAUCAAAGCGUAGGAAAACUGUGCACAGACGUGUUGUCUCAAGGCAUCCAAGAGAUGUCACAGAGACCACGGAAAAAAAAGGGUUGGCAGGGUUGAGAUCACAGAGAAUUGAUGGAUUGAAGAUGUUAAUAUCACAGCUGGAUGAUAAAAAAAGAAUGGAAUUGCUAGUUGUCAUAAUAGAAAGACAACCAGGCUUGAAAUUUGCGACAGUUUGACUAUUGCAGCUAGAGACACACCAGUCACGUCUCCACCACCACCGACAAAAAAUUAUGCUAUAAACUUUUGCCUCAAAAUUGCUUAUCUCUAAGACCGGAAAUUGAUAAGUAUUGAUUAGAUGAGUGGGUUUAGAUCGCAUUACAAACAAGUGAUGACAUUUUGUUAGGGUGCCAGAUGAUGAUGGACAGAAAAGGUUUCGCCUUGCUGUCUACCGUCAGUUUUGGAGGCACAGUCGAGAUAAUCAGACAAGUAAUAUCAAACUGUAUAGUCUGCAAAGUAAAUAGGAGGUAUCCUGACAAAUGGGUAUAACCAUGAAUGAAGGAGCACUGUUCAAAAGACCUACCCAAAUUAUCAAACAAAACAUUUUUUUCUAUUAGUUAAAGAUACAUUAUGGUGGAUUAGAUAAAGAUCUGGCAGUUCUCACUAUAAUAGUUAAAACUAGAUGAUGUAAAUGGAAUAUGCUGAGAAUUUCAGUCAAAUUGCUUCACUAUAAGACUAUAAGCCGAGAAAACUUUAUUGUAACAAUGACUGUAGCCUCAAUUGUCAUUGUUACCGCCGAGAAAACCUUUGUUUAAAAAUGACUGUAGCUUCGAUUGUCAUUGUUACUGCUGUCACGAUAAUAAACAAAGUCCUGAUUAUCCAUUGUUGCGUUUAAUCAACAGACGGCGAACAGCAGAUCAGAUUCAAAUCCAAUGAAAAUCGGACACCUUUGAUGACAUCAAGAGUUGAUUAUAAUAAAUGUCUAAUUAAUACAUGUAGUUUAUAUACUAUUCAAAAAAAGUAGGGGAUAUUUGAUUUUUAAGUGUUAUUAAAGUCACCUAAUGAAACUGACGAAGAAACAAAUGACAAAAUGAAAUGAAGUUCACAUUCAUCGAUUUAUUCCAAAUGAUCGUUAGACUAAGUAAGGCACAGACUGACCAUUAUAAGGGUAAAAUGAUACCCGGGGUCAAACAGCAAAGUUACCACAGCAUCACAACCAAGUCAGUAACGGGUAAAUCCUCU